RNAcentral lists this ribosomal RNA (920 nucleotides) under uncultured bacterium. Its description in RNAcentral is "bacterial SSU rRNA". It matches the Rfam family "Bacterial small subunit ribosomal RNA", at positions 33 to 944 of the family's 1533-position model. The record is from RNAcentral.
ACGCUAGCUACAGGCUUAACACAUGCAAGUCGAGGGGAAACGGCAUUAAGUGCUUGCACUUUUUGGACGUCGACCGGCGCACGGGUGAGUAACGCGUAUCCAACCUUCCCAUGACUAAGGGAUAACCUGCCGAAAGGCAGACUAAUACCUUAUGGUCUUCACUGACGGCAUCAGAUGUGAAGUAAAGAUUUAUCGGUUAUGGAUGGGGAUGCGUCUGAUUAGCUUGUUGGCGGGGUAACGGCCCACCAAGGCAACGAUCAGUAGGGGUUCUGAGAGGAAGGUCCCCCACAUUGGAACUGAGACACGGUCCAAACUCCUACGGGAGGCAGCAGUGAGGAAUAUUGGUCAAUGGGCGAGAGCCUGAACCAGCCAAGUAGCGUGCAGGAUGACGGCCCUAUGGGUUGUAAACUGCUUUUGUAUGGGGAUAAAGUCAGUUACGUGUGAUUGUUUGCAGGUACCAUACGAAUAAGGACCGGCUAAUUCCGUGCCAGCAGCCGCGGUAAUACGGAAGGUCCGGGCGUUAUCCGGAUUUAUUGGGUUUAAAGGGAGCGUAGGCUGGAGAUUAAGUGUGUUGUGAAAUGUAGACGCUCAACGUCUGACUUGCAGCGCAUACUGGUUUCCUUGAGUACGCACAACGUUGGCGGAAUUCGUCGUGUAGCGGUGAAAUGCUUAGAUAUGACGAAGAACUCCGAUUGCGAAGGCAGCUGACGGGAGCGCAACUGACGCUGAAGCUCGAAGGUGCGGGUAUCGAACAGGAUUAGAUACCCUGGUAGUCCGCACAGUAAACGAUGGAUGCCCGCUGUUGGUACCUGGUAUCAGCGGCUAAGCGAAAGCAUUAAGCAUCCCACCUGGGGAGUACGCCGGCAACGGUGAAACUCAAAGGAAUUGACGGGGGCCCGCACAAGCGGAGGAACAUGUGG